UGAGGAAUAUUGGUCAAUGGGCGGGAGCCUGAACCAGCCAAGCCGCGUGAGGGAAGAAGGCCCUAUGGGUCGUAAACCUCUUUUGUCAGGGAACAAAAGCGAGUAUGUAUACUGGUCUGAGUGUACCUGAAGAAAAAGCAUCGGCUAACUCCGUGCCAGCAGCCGCGGUAAUACGGAGGAUGCGAGCGUUAUCCGGAUUUAUUGGGUUUAAAGGGUGCGUAGGCGGCGGUGCAAGUCAGCGGUAAAAUGCCCGGGGGCCUCAACCCCGGCGAGCCGUUGAAACUGCAGUGCUAGAGAAGCGAGAGGUACGCGGAAUGCGCAGUGUAGCGGUGAAAUGCUUAGAUAUUGCGCAGAACUCCGAUUGCGAAGGCAGCGUACUGGCGCCUGACUGACGCUGAGGCACGAAAGCGUGGGGAUCGAACAGGAUUAGAUACC
This 435-nucleotide ribosomal RNA is filed under the name uncultured bacterium. Its description in RNAcentral is "bacterial SSU rRNA". It matches the Rfam family "Bacterial small subunit ribosomal RNA", at positions 355 to 786 of the family's 1533-position model. The record is from RNAcentral.